RNAcentral lists this ribosomal RNA (323 nucleotides) under uncultured bacterium. Its description in RNAcentral is "bacterial SSU rRNA". It matches the Rfam family "Bacterial small subunit ribosomal RNA", at positions 169 to 507 of the family's 1533-position model. The record is from RNAcentral.
CCGCAUAACAUUGUUGAAUGCAUGAAUUAACAAUCAAAGGAGCAAUCCGCUGAAAGAUGGGACUCGCGUCCGAUUAGCUAGACGGCGAGGUAACGGGCCCACCAUGGCGACGAUCGGUAGCCGGACUGAGAGGUUGAACGGCCACAUUGGGACUGAGACACGGCCCAGACUCCUACGGGAGGCAGCAGUGGGGAAUAUUGCACAAUGGGGGAAACCCUGAUGCAGCAACGCCGCGUGAAGGAAGACGGUCUUCGGAUUGUAAACUUUGUUCUUAGUGAAGAAACAUGACGGUAGCUAAGGAGAAAGCCACGGCUAACUACGUG